UGAUACUCUAAGAAUAACUUCGGUACAUCCGAAAUCUUUCCCGGUGCCGCAGCCACUAACGCCUACCCCUCCAACGAAUUGAAACACUAUUACAAGAAGUACAAGAAAGAAAAGAUGUCGGCGGAAACUGCAAUAAAGGGACUUAACCAUGACUGCGUUUUUGCAGGGGCGAGGGGAAGAAGGAAGUAUUUCUGCCACGAUGUGUACGUGUGUUUUCCCCCGGUUUAUCAUGGUGACGUGAAGCAGCCCCGUUUGCAGCAAGCCGGCAGCUAUACCCCGAGUAACUAUGCCGUAAGGUUGCACCAGAAUAGACUGGAGGGCGUCAGGCGUAGGCACGCACCGCUGAACGUUCGCAACUUCACCGUACCAGGGUCGCAAGUGAGUCUCCACUGAUGACGCCGUCGGAGGCCACGACACAUCACACCGAAGAACAACCACCACACACACGAGACGGAGAAGACUGGGAAGAAAGAGAGAGAGAAGACUGAAGAUCUGAAAAAGCAAGAACAUGAAAGACACUGAGAAACAGAGAUUAUAAGAGAGAGACAGUUUCUUAAAGAGAGAAUAAGGAAGUUCAUGAUACUAAGCUUAAGUGUACAUGCGCAAGGUCAAGGGUGAAGGCCCCUGACACAUAAACAAAUCAUUAUGCAAAUGACCAAUGGUUAUGCAAAUCUGCCGAUGGUUAUGCAAAUUGAACGACAUUUAUGUAAUUCGACCGAUGGUUAUGCAAAUCAACCGAUGGGGGCUUUUACUUUUGAUUUUGCGCAUGCGUGCUUAACGUCGUGAACCACAUUGUUGGAGAAGUGCGUUCGGGAAACGUCGGUCUUUUCCGUUGACGUUCCCGACGUUGUAACGAUCCACGUUUGGUGGAUCUCAAAAGCUUCUGUGACGUCAUGCCAAUCAAAUGUAUAAGUAUAACAGGAGGCAAAUCUGAUUGGCUAGCUCGAAAUGAUGAGAUUAAAGUAAGAUGCAGUCGCGAGGCACCACAGGAUAAAAAGGUAGUGAAGAGUCUUUAAAAGUCAGAGAUCUUGUAGACAAGACAUAUUGUAGAAAUCAUACAGCUACAGAACCUUAUCAUUUUUGUAUACUUUUAUUGCUGUAAUUACUAAAGAGAUGGUAGCAUCAUAUCCAGCUCUUAAAGGGACUUUCCACGAAUUCUAAUUUUAUGCUACAUAGAUGGUGGCCAAUUGCAUAUUUAAAUCGAUACCGCAUUGCAUGUUGGGAAAUAUGUAAAACCACCAUAACAAUCUUGUCACUCCUUAUAAGGAAACCAAAGAUUACUGUCAACAUUUGUUUACAUCGAUUUAUUCGAUGCUUGUUUCAAAAUAAACUACAACAGUAACUGC
Long non-coding RNA from Branchiostoma floridae (Florida lancelet), 1346 nucleotides. RefSeq lists it as uncharacterized. The transcript has 2 exons. The record is from RefSeq and is a predicted model, not a curated record. Lineage: Eukaryota; Metazoa; Chordata; Leptocardii; Amphioxiformes; Branchiostomatidae.